GCCUAGCAUAGCUUAGUCAGUAGAGCAUGAGACUCUUAAUCUCAGGGCCAUGGGUUCAAGCCCCAUGCUGGGCA
Molecule: non-coding RNA, 74 nt
Organism: Podarcis raffonei (Aeolian wall lizard)
Lineage: Eukaryota; Metazoa; Chordata; Lepidosauria; Squamata; Lacertidae
Source: the annotation of a RefSeq genome assembly